RNAcentral lists this long non-coding RNA (2768 nucleotides) under Equus asinus (donkey). RNAcentral's name for it is "lncRNA (ENSEASG00005026995.1)". Lineage: Eukaryota; Metazoa; Chordata; Mammalia; Perissodactyla; Equidae. The record is from RNAcentral.
CACAGCAGCUGUCCCAGAGCAGUCACUCCGUACCACAGAUGGCAGAGGGAUUUUGGUCCCUUUGCUUAUUCAUUCUCCUAACAUUCAGGUGGUGGCUUUGGCAAGAGCCUCUUUGACCAGGCAAAUUCCCAGCCUGGUCACUUGACCGGAGCCACACUGUCUGAAAUAAUCUUUAUUGAUCCUAUUUCCCAUCUAGUCUAUUUUGUGGGAGGUAGAAAGUUGUGUUUUUUUUCCCCCAGAGCUAAGCUCUCUCUUAAGGGUGUGCUUGAUGGAGAAUCAACCAAUGAGAGUUGCUCCACGUUUAUCAUCAGUGUUCUCCUCCAACCCCUCCACCUUCUCCAGCACCCCCCUCCUUUGUUGCACUUGAUCAAGUACACGUGUUUCAUCUUCAAAAUAAAAAUUUAUUCAAUCUGUAACAAGAACAUUGGAUCUGCACAUUUGCGCACAAGUUCACAUUUAAAAACAGCGGAGCACAUCAGUAAUAAAAAAAUCUAUGAUACAAGUGGAACAUCCCAACCACCAGGAAGAUUAAGGAAGGAGAUGAGACCACUCUUUAUAUUCUGCUUCAAAUGCCUCAAAAAGGUCCCAGAGAUUCCAGGGAGCACCUGCUUUUAAUAAAAUGCGAGCAUAAAAGUUUGGGGUGGCCUGGGGUAAAGGUAACAGUCAGUGGGAGAGUCUUUUGGACUUGCUUUCCACAUUUAGAACAAGUCUUACAAAAUAAAGUAGAAAGAAAGAAAGAAAAAAGGCACCUUAAGCUAUGCCAAGCAAACCAAAAUCCAGUAAAACAUAAAAACCAAACAAUUCCCUGUGGGCUUACUGGCUGGGAAACAUUUCAGGGCCGGUUCCCCAGUUUUCAGGUUGGGUCAUCAGCUCAAGUUAAGCCCUGGGUAUAAGCUCUGCAUGUGUAUACAGGAUGCUGGUUCUCUUUCCACAGGAGGAGCCAGGCCCAGUCACCCUCCACUUUCGGGCUGGAAAAGUACUGAAGCACCUUGCAGUCACUCUCCAUGGCAUCAAAGGACCCCAGCCCGGCGAGAAGGGUUAGGAGUGUGCAGCUUCCUGCUUUUUCCUAACACAGGUGUCGGAUGAGUUGAGGCAGCAAAUACAUUUAUGCCUAACACAUGCCUGAUCUUUUAGUUUGGAAGGGAAAACAAAGUCCAAGAUAUUUUUAAGUUGGAUUGGUGCUGAAAGAGCUAAAAUUUCAUCUCAUCCACCAUCAAAAAGCAAAACAAAAUGAAACAAAAACGACACUAGCCAUUCACCAUUACGACCAUCACUAUAAGACACGCCAUCACUGAGAAAAUGACAACUAUUUCCAUACAGAGUGUUGGAUGGGAGUGCAGGACACAGAUGGAAGUCAGCUCCAGGUUUCCCCAUUGACCCAUGAGGGCUGACCGCUAUGGCCAUGCUCUGUGUGAGGACUCACGGGACAGCCAGGGCUGGGUGCCUGGAAGAGGAGGAGAUUGAGCGGCCAUCAAGAUGAUGCACGUUUUAAUACCCACAAUGUAAACACAGUAUCCACAAAUAGUUGUCCAAAAAGCCAAAGAAUGGCUUUAUUUAAAAAUUUUGAAAUGCCCUUAAAAGUGACUUUUGCAUAAUGCUUUCUUUCUUAAAAGAAAAAAAGAGAAACAACUCCCACAAAAACAUCUUUACCAAACAUGUCUAGAUCACUUCAGAACUGAGAUCCUCAGAUGGAACAGGUGAACGUUUCUGUGAGCUGCUACGUCUCAGAAGCUUCAUGUCUAUCCAACAGUAUUUGUCUAGGGCCCUUUAGCAGGAAGGGACCUCCGAGCCUAGGCUGUCAACCUCAGGCUGUUCUUGGAGCUCUUAGUAGUUCCCAAAAUGAGAAAGAGGAAAUACCAGUUGGGAUAAAGGUACAGAACCAGGAAAAUGCUAGAUAAAGAGCCUGAAGAGGCUGAGAUGCUAGGAAUGAUCCCAAACAUUCAGAAUCUGAAAGGCAACCAAAAUGAGGAGAGACGAAUGUUACUACACUACAGUACUACCUUUCUACUAUAGUAUACACUACUUCCUAAGUGUUUCUAAAAUCAGGAAACGGUUGGGGUUUCUCUCCUUCCUACAGACCAGGUAACCAUGCAGAUUACAGCUCAAAAUCUGUGUGCUCCUGGGGCUUUUACCCCAUGCACCAAAAUGUUACUCUUUUUACACACACACACACACACCCCUCCAGAGAAAUUUAGAGUCAACUAUGAUGGUUUUCAAAAUAAAGCUAAAGAGAGGCACUGAGUAAGAGGUCAAGACUUUUUCUAUUCAUCUAUUAGACUUUUCCUUUUCAUCUCUGUUAAUCGACUAGACCUGCUGUUCUGGGUCUGGGUUUUCCAUGAACAGAAAUGGGAAAUAGGCCACCCAAGAUUAUCAAAAAGUUUGGAGAGAAGAAAGUCUGGAAAGUCCUUGACAGCUCGUCAUGCACUUUCUCUGGACAUCUCUCUGCUAUGUAAGUAACACAGACCACUCAGCUGUGGGAGUCUGAGAGGGCUGGCAAAACCCCAUGGCAUGGCUGAAUUACAGACCCUGUGUAGAGGAUGUUUAUUUAGGCAGGAAAAUAAAUUAUUAAAAAAGAAAAGAAAAGAAAAGAAAGUUAAAAAAAAAAAAAAAGGCAGAACCAAGACCAUUUACUCUUAAAAAAAAAGUUUUUCUUCACAGCAUUAGAGGGUUUCCUCCCCACCUUUGUUGUUAUUUAAUGCAGUGAGAGUGAGCAUUAAACACAGUCACAGGGGAGAGAGAGAACAGUGCAAGCCUGUUGAUCCUGCUCG